This 68-nucleotide transfer RNA is filed under the name Crocidura attenuata. RNAcentral's name for it is "tRNA-Thr". It matches the Rfam family "tRNA". From Rfam's summary of the family: Transfer RNA (tRNA) molecules are approximately 80 nucleotides in length. Their secondary structure includes four short double-helical elements and three loops (D, anti-codon, and T loops). RNAcentral also lists the same sequence under 1 other name. Lineage: Eukaryota; Metazoa; Chordata; Mammalia; Eulipotyphla; Soricidae. The record is from RNAcentral.
GCCUUAGUAGUAUAACUAAUACACUGGUCUUGUAAACCAGAAAUGGAGACGUACAUCCCCCUAAGACA